AGCGCUCCUGGAGAGGCUGUGGGCUUCUGGCAUCAGCGCCGAAGCUGCGUGUAUGGCAGGUUUCCUACCUGGUGUUCAUUGCCGUUAAUUCAAGACUGCUGCCACCCAGGCACGUCUCUGUGUCCCGCCGCUCCCUCCACACCCUCGGCACUGCUAGCAGUAAGAAUUUUUGCAACGACACUCGCUUCAGCAAGAGAUCUGCUUCCUUAGAACCCUAGCUGUCUGACUUUGAACCUGAGGAUGACUGCACUUACCCCAUGUCUCUGCUCAAGUGCUGGGAUUACAGGUGCUGGGAAGCCAGAAUUUUGUCACUGGUGAAGAUAAACUUUUAAGACCUGCCCCAUAGACUGUCCUACUCAAGAUUCACCGGCACACCAGGAUAUCCAUUUCCAUGGACACCUUUGGGAGGCAGUUGGAAAGCCUUGUGGUUGCUGGGACUCAAACCCAGGAUCUUAGACAUACAAAACCAUUGCUCUACCACUGAACUAUAUCUCUGGCUCUGAGGAAGAUACCUUUGAAAAAAUGUUGUAAAGUUUGCCACAUGCUAUCUGUGAAUGACCUCAAAAGAGAAGAGGAGGGGACUCUCAUCAGUGAUAAAGGAUUCUGAGGAGUAAUGCGUCCGUGAAUAUCUCAGACAGAGACGUGCACAAAGGAACAGGUAUCUCACUCCAUUAGAACACAGCUUGUGGGCAUUGACAUUAAGAAUGUUGAUGAAAGAUUUAUAGUGAAGAAGCUAAAGAAUACUCUUGUCAUCAGGAGGAGGAAUGAGCCUGAAUGUAGCAGUGUCCUCUGCUUUUCUAACCCAUGUCAGAAAAGUUUGUGAUAACCCCAAGGAAGGUGCCUCAGUAAUGUUGAAAUGCCCCAUGUGAGACAUAACCUAUUUUUCGAUUGGAAAUUACAGGUGGACCACAGUGAGCAUUGAGUAAAAAGCUUCAUCCUUGCAAUAUGGGGUCCGCUGUUAUGGAAUCUGUCUAGAAAUGGAUCCGUUAAAAACUGCGUUGUGGAUCAACAUUCAGUGAAUGUUGGGAAUGGAACUCAUGUUGCCCAAAGAGGAUGUCGAGGAAUGUUGCAAUAUGCCUGGUGCAAAUCACAACUUGGGAUCUCUGAUAAUUGUGAAUGAAAUUAGAAGGCAACUGAUUGUUUCCCCCCCAGAUACAAAGAGUGAAGGAAAUGUAGUGAAUGAGCUCUCUGUCUUCUGCGGAGCACACAAUGUGCCUUCAUAUACCCUUAGCUUUUCAGUAUCUCAUCACUUUGAAUGUCACUGCUUUUAUGGAGAUUUCUAUUUACCGGGUUGGCCGACGACAUGCUUUCAAUUCUAUCUGGUAGAUGUUAAAAGGCUCAAGGAGCAGAAAUAGCACAAGACGGACUGAAGAGCUGAGUGGCAAUGUAGACUGGAGGGACCAUAUCCAGGAGACAGUGUCCCAUCCAUCCUCCGAGCUGCCGUAGCCGUAAACUGUCAAUCUGGCACCUGAUACGUGUCGGUCUGAAAUGCAUGAUGGGAGAUCCAAAAUGUUAGGAACUGCUGCUUUGGAGAAUGAUUAUAAAAUCUUCUUUUUAUAUUAGAGGUUUGGAGGUUGUAAACUCCCAGUUUCACAUUAUUUUCCAUGAGUUUGAGGAUUUUUUUGUUCCGUUCUUUGACACAGGGUUUUGUGUGUAGCUUUGCGCCUUACCUGGAAGUUGCUGUGUUGACCAGGUUGG
Onychomys torridus (southern grasshopper mouse) is the source of this 1698-nucleotide long non-coding RNA. RefSeq lists it as uncharacterized. The record is from RefSeq and is a predicted model, not a curated record. The transcript has 9 exons. Lineage: Eukaryota; Metazoa; Chordata; Mammalia; Rodentia; Cricetidae.